This 5334-nucleotide long non-coding RNA is filed under the name Brassica napus (rape). RNAcentral's name for it is "long non-coding RNA (BNAP_LNC001451)". The record is from RNAcentral. Lineage: Eukaryota; Viridiplantae; Streptophyta; Magnoliopsida; Brassicales; Brassicaceae.
AUUCAUAUAUGUACAUGAAACAUCAACUUCCCUAAACCAUUAGCCAGUGAGGUUCUAAUUUCACAAAACAAAGAACAUGGUAACCAAUGCAAGCAUAGAACUCGAACCAACAACCCGUUUCUGAGUCGAAAAUGCAAACCUUGUUUGAUGAGGGGGAUGUUGGAAUUUCUAUUCCGAGAGAGCAAUCUUUAGGGAAAACUCCUUUCUCAAUGUCUCUAAUUGUGGCGGUUAUCAAAGGUAAACAGACACCAACAGCAUCCUUAAAGUCACUUUCUUUGCUUUCAUCUUUCUUCCUGUAAUAAUAGAUAAGAAAAUAAGAAGUAUGACCAAAACGUCCCAUGAUAAAUAAUCACUAGUUCUAUGACAUAUAUCAGCACGCAUUCCCAUGAUAUACGCACCAGUUCAAUGAUAAACACAAAGAGGGUACUCCAGAAAUCAAGGCUUCCCUGGCUCCAGCCACUCCACCGGAAUAGAACCUGAAAGAUUCUCGCAUCAGGAAACACAAAGCAGAUGGACAGACAAGGAAUAACUAGUUAAGAAAAAAAGCACAUACAUUUGAUGCCCACAGCUUGAGCCCUGAUUGAUUCCACUAAUUAUCUGAAGAAAAUAAGGAAAAGGAUGCAUAACAUUAGAAGAUACCAUAACAUCAUAUAUGAUGGGGAGAUGAUUAAAAAAAAUGCUAAACCAGUAUUGGUUUUGACCAAGCGAAAAGCGCUCCGGAUAAUCCUAAUGAGAUGCAGUCCACAGGAGUCCCUGAGACAAAAACAACAAUAAUCUCAAAGCCUAUGAACAGAGACGGUACUCACACCAUGAUGCAAAAGACUAUUCCAACAACCAACAAAAAGACUUCAACUUUCAGCUUAUAGAUGUAAUGAUCAUUCACCUGAAACUUCAAAGGCUGUGGCACCUUUGAUACCAGCGGAACUCGCAGCAAUGGUUUCUGCAGGAGUCAUAGAAUGAGAAGAAGCCGAUUUAUCCCUGCCACAUUCACAAGCCUUGUGGGUCACUAAAAGUUUGAAACUUUAACAAGAAAAAAUGAACAAAUCAUAAAACGAAAUCUUGCUCACGUUUGAGGAGCACAGACAUGGACAUUGUAGAGCCCUUCCUUAACCAAAGCCUCGACGAGAGAGACGAGCCCAAUCGAAUCAAUCCCAUCCCCAUUCGUGACUAAAACGAUGGGUCUGGAGUCAUCGAUCUCCUCCUUGGCCGCAACAUCGACGGAGACAGAAGUAGACGGAGGAGGCUCCUCCUCCUCCGCGGAUCCAUCGCUUCCUCCUUUUCUCUUGGAAAGCACGUCCUGGAGAUUCGAGACGAGCGCGGCCGACAAGCCGUUGUUCUUCGAGGUCAUCGUGUCGAAAGAGAGAACACGCAGAUGAGGUGGGUCCUGUCUUGAAGACGAAGAAGAAAGUUGGGAGAGGGAGAGAGAGCGGGUCUAACGGAGGAAAGAGAGAAGCUUUAAUUGGCAGAGAGAGAGAGAGAUUACCUGUGUCAACUGUUAUCUCUUUUUAGAUAGACAAGAGGAAGAACAGUGACCCGCUAUUUUUUUUCCAAACAGAAAACAUAAAUAUUAAUAAGUAUACAAUUUAAGUUAAUAAAAUAUUUAGCCAUAUAAAUACAUAAACCUCAUAAUUAAAAUAAAUUAUUUGGAAUAGUAUUUUUUACAAGUUAAUAUAAAAUUAUUCUUACUCGUAAACUCUUACUUAUGCAUAUAAAGACCUGGACCUUGAAAUUAAAAUAAAUUUAAUUUUUUUUUUCUGGUUAGGGUCAAAAGAAUGUAACAUGUUAUGAAUGGUCCACAUCUAAUAAUUACUCAGUUAUUAUGACAUGCAUUUAAAGAUAUUUGUGGAAAAUAAUUUGAACCGACAACAUCAUAGUAUCAUGUUGGUUGAUAAUUAAAACUGUUAAUUGUUGCUAGAUCAUAUGCUACUGGAAUUUUUUUUUUUUAUAUCAAAAUAGCCUUUUGAUUUAAUUAGUUUUAGUUGCACUAUGUUAUUUAUGCUUUAUUACUGAAUUGGGUACAAAUAAGCUGGUCUGAUAUUGACUGAAUCUUAGUGCAGCCGUCAACCCAAAGCUCAAGCCACUGGUAUCUGCCCAGACCUGGUUCAACAUGAGAAGUUUCCAACAAUGACUGGAGACUCAUACAGCCAGAGAGUUUGAUAGUCUCCAACAGAACUAGUUCCGGAAACGCUUUAAGUCUUCUGCAGUUACAAAGGCUGACGUGUUUCAGCCUCAGAAGUUGAUUCAUGGUCUCUGGUAAAGUCUCGAAAUCGUUGCCGUUCCAGUCCAGCUUCUCUAGGAGUUGUAAGGAGCUUACAUCAUCUGGGAUCACUUUAAUGUUUAAGUUGAAUAGAUUUAACUCUUUCAAGCAGGGGAACAUGUAAAGGCUAUGACAGAGGAAACUUGCAGCAGCAGCAUCACUCUUGUAGUUGAACCUGGUGAUCUCCAUGGCAUUAAAACCGUGGAACUCUGACCUAUUGGGUCGAUGCCUCUGCUGCUCUACUUUCUUUGUCCUCCGUUUAUGAUCGUAAAACAGAAGUGGUUGCUGGUCCAUCCUUAUCAGUACAUGAGGUGCUUGUUUCUCAGAACUAAAACAAAGGUGAUCCACGUUGCCGGCAAGCCCCACCAUCUGAAUUUGUAUGUUUCCUCCAAUGGAUAGAUAUGUAGUGGACCUCAUUUCCACUUCAUUACUUGAGAAAUACAAAACAAUCUGCCAAGAACGCCCAGUGAAUUCCUUUAUGGUGAUGUGGUAGUUACUAGUAAGCUCAUCACAGUCUGUGACAUCAAGCAUUGUCAGGCUAGUAAGGUUACUAAUGGACUCUGAAUCCUCUUGAGCCUCUUGCAGCCUUGAGUUAUCACUUCUUCCAAAUUCACCGCAUGCGAAAGAUCUGGAAGCUGUUCAAGAUUCUUAGACCCUGUCAAGUCUAGUCUUCUCAAGUGUAGUAACCACUGGGGAUAAGAUAAACCAACAAGGAAUAAGCAAAUUGUUAGUUAACAUGUGGUAGUAAUCACUGCGCACUUAUGAAGAGCGUUUACCUUGGUUCCUUUCAUCAAGCUUGUGAGAUUGCUGUAACGUAAACUGACUUCGACAAGACCUAGUGGAAGGAACCGGGGAGGAAAGUCUGUCAAAGGAAACGCAUCCCAGUGUAGUAACCUAAGCCUCACCGAAAGUAAAUAUGUAUCGUCACUCAUGAAAUGCAGCAUGGGAUCAACGUGGUCUGAGAGCCUGUGAACCUUGAGGAACUUGAGAUUAUUGUGGUCGUUUUUCGCAUACCCAUCGAGAUACAACUCUUCUGGCAUCUCGCACAUGUGUAGAGCCAUGCAUGCCACUGAUUGGUUGUCCUGUGGUGUUGACACUGAGAAAGUUAAGUUUGCAUUUAUACAACAGCAACAUAUGUUACAGAUGCUGUAGACUAGGCCUGCGGUUUAUAACCGAGCUCGCCGAACCAAAGGUAGGUUUAUUAAAAAAAAAUCUGGUUUUCGGUUCGGUAAUAAAUUAGUUCGGUUUUUCGAAAACUACUCGGUUCCUUCUUAUGUGGUAACUGGUAAGGACGAAGAGACUUGGGCUCGAUGCAUCACAAGGUAAUGAUGGUAUCCAAGAGGUGUGUAGCUACGUAGAAGCAUCUGAAUACCUUCAAAUUAAAUCAAAGCGAUACAUAGUAGCAGAUGAAGGAGAGUAUUCACCUUCAUAUCACAUGUUGCUUUGACAACAUCUCCAUAGCCCUCAAAGCGAUGCUUACAUAAGUAUUGUUCAGCGUUCAAUAAAACUAACAAGCAAAGACUUAUUGUCCCUAUGAUUAUGUAAAGAUUUGAUGGAAGCUAUGAAAAAAAGGUGGGUCACACUUGUAGGAUAUUGAAAAAUAAAUUCAAUGCAAUAUCAACAUGUUUCACAUUGGAAACCUCCCUACCUCCUUUAUUAAGCAAAACUCAAAGAUAGCUCUCUUCAUAUAUCUGAUCAAUAACAACAUGCUUCACAUUAGAAAUCUCACUACCUCCUUUAUGAGGCAAAACUCAAAGAUAGCUCAUGAUACAUAUCUCAGCUGAAGCAAUAGUGUCAUCCAGGGGAUCUGGGACCGUUCUUCUCGAUCAAAAGGUAUACAAAAACAAAGUUUCUACGAAUUUAGAAGAUAAUAAAAGUAGACCGACCCUUUUCAAUUACAAAGGCAAGUGUUCCAAAACAGCUACUGACAAACAAACAAGCCAACAGAAGCAAGCCACGAGGGAAAUCGAAUAAAUAGAAUAAACAAAAGGGUUAAAACGACACACACAUGCUGAAUCUAGUUACCAGAUUUGUUUGGCCAAAUCAUGUAACAUAAUUUACUAGAAGGACCUUUUUCAUUGAUCAGCAUUAAGGGCUUUGGAGAUCCAUUCUGAUGCUGCGGCUUGAGUUUCUGAAUCCAUCUUUGGAAGUAGCGACAAUGGAGUCACAGAAACCUGUCAUUACAAAAAAGAGUUCAGUAAAGUAGCUUAGAUUCCAGACCAGAGAAGAGCGUGUGAUCAUGCCAACUUACAAAACCAUCUUCUAGAGCCUUGAUAUCCAAAUCUUCAUCCGUAUGCUCUUCUUGUUCUUUACCCACAAACUGCAUAUUAACAUAGUCAGGACUCAGGAUCUCAAACACAAUGGUACAUACUAUCAAUAUCCAAAGGAUUUGUGAAGAGAACGUCUCAAAGUUCUUCUUUACCUCUAGGCGGAAGUAUUUCUUAACACGGCUAUCAGUUUUAGCAGCAACACCAACCGAUUCAAUCUCCACAAUACUCUUCUUCUGUGUGGUGAAACGACGAGCCGCUCCCUGAGAUCACCAGAUAUCUUAAUCUCAGUAUCUAAUUAACUACUUUUGGACCUUGUGAAAACAAAGUUGAGGUUUAUAACUUUUGAAUAGAAGGAAUUAACUCACAGCAGCUGAAGCAUCUCUGCCAAGCUGAGCAAGUUGAGCUCCUAGGCUUUGUUGGUUGGACAUGAAAUUCCCAGCACCAGGGUGACGGUUAGCUGAAACAGCUUGCCAGCUAGGAGUCUGCCUCCACAUGCUUUGUUUUGUUACCUUAAAACCCUAUUCAUAUAUGUACAUGAAACAUCAACUUCCCUAAACCAUUAGCCAGUGAGGUUCUAAUUUCACAAAACAAAGAACAUGGUAACCAAUGCAAGCAUAGAACUCGAACCAACAACCCGUUUCUGAGUCGAAAAUGCAAACCUUGUUUGAUGAGGGGGAUGUUGGAAUUUCUAUUCCGAGAGAGCAAUCUUUAGGGAAAACUCCUUUCUCAAUGUCUCUAAUUGUGGCGGUUAUCAAAGGUAAACAGACACCAACAGCAUCCUUAAAGUCACUUUCUUUGCUUUCAUCU